AUGGUUAAGUGACUAAGCGUAGACGGUGGAUGCCUAGGCAGUUGGAGGCGAUGAAGGACGUACUAACUUGCGAUAAGCCAUGAUGAGGCAGUAAGAGCCGCUUGAGUCAUGGAUUUCCGAAUGGGGAAACCCAGUGUGCUUGCACACUAUCUUGCACUGAAUUCAUAGGUGUAAGAGGCGAACCCGGGGAACUGAAACAUCUAAGUACCCGGAGGAAAAGAAAUCAACCGAGAUUUCCCUAGUAGCGGCGAGCGAACGGGAAGCAGCCCUUAAGCAAUCAUAGUUUUAGUGGAAUCUGUUGGAAAGCAGAACGAUAGAGGGUGAUAGUCCCGUACACGAAGAGGCUAUGUUUGUGAAAACGAGUAGGUCGGGACACGUGUUAUCUUGACUGAAUAUGGGGGGACCAUCCUCCAAGGCUAAAUACUCCCAACUGACCGAUAGUGAACCAGUACCGUGAGGGAAAGGCGAAAAGAACCCCGGCGAGGGGAGUGAAAUAGAACCUGAAACCGUCUACGUACAAGCAGUAGGAGCCCUUUGGGGUGACUGCGUACCUUUUGUAUAAUGGGUCAGCGACUUAUAUUUUGUAGCAAGGUUAACCGUAUAGGGGAGCCGUAGGGAAACCGAGUCUUAACUGGGCGCUAAGUUGCAAGGUAUAGACCCGAAACCGAGCGAUCUACCCAUGAGCAGGUUGAAGGUUGAGUAACAUCAACUGGAGGACCGAACUCACAUCUGUUGAAAAAGAUGGAGAUGACUUGUGGGUCGGAGUGAAAGGCUAAUCAAGCUCGGAGAUAGCUGGUUCUCCCCGAAAUCUAUUUAGGUAGAGCCUCGGACGAAUACCUCUGGGGGUAGAGCACUGUUUGGGCUAGGGGGUCAUCCCGACUUACCAACCCCAUGCAAACUCCGAAUACCAGAGAGUACUAUCCGGGAGACACACGGCGGGUGCUAACGUCCGUCGUGAAGAGGGAAACAACCCAGACCGCCAGCUAAGGUCCCCAAGUAAUGGCUAAGUGGGAAACGAUGUGGGAAGGCUUAGACAGCUAGGAGGUUGGCUUAGAAGCAGCCAUCCUUUAAAGAAAGCGUAAUAGCUCACUAGUCGAGUCGGCCUGCGCGGAAGAUGUAACGGGGCUAAGCCAUUCACCGAAGCUGCGGCAGCGAAUUUAUUUGCUGGGUAGGGGAGCGUUCUGUAAGCCGUUGAAGGUGUGUUGAGAAGCAUGCUGGAGGUAUCAGAAGUGCGAAUGCUGACAUGAGUAACGAUAAUGGGGGUGAAAAACCCCCACGCCGGAAGACCAAGGUUUCCUAUCCCAUGCUAAUCAGGGUAGGGUAAGUCGGCCCCUAAGGCGAGGCCGAGAGGCGUAGUCGAUGGGAAUCAGGUUAAUAUUCCUGAACCGACAUGUACUGCGAUGGGGGGACGGAGAAGGCUAGGCAAGCCGGGUGUUGGUUAUCCCGGUGAAAGUAAGUAGGCUGAGGACUUAGGCAAAUCCGGGUCCUUAAGGCUGAGAUACGAGACGAGUACCCACGGGUGCGAA
Molecule: ribosomal RNA, 1526 nt
Filed under: Pseudidiomarina indica
Lineage: Bacteria; Pseudomonadati; Pseudomonadota; Gammaproteobacteria; Alteromonadales; Idiomarinaceae
Description: bacterial LSU rRNA
Rfam family: Bacterial large subunit ribosomal RNA
Source: RNAcentral